AGUUAGUGCAUGAAUUGGGUGAUCAGCUGGAAUCUGUUCAAAGAAGGAAGCAGAAGAAGAAAUUGUCCAUGCUGUGGAUUUUCUCGAGUAGGUGACAAUGUCAACUACCCUUCACCAGGGCUUCCUCAAUGAGGAAAGGACCAGCAGGUUCAUCAUCAUUUGUGGGGCUAUGGAAGUGGUCUUAACAUUGAAAUUUUUGGAUGUAACCGCAAGGUAUCUUCAUCGAUCCUAAACUCAUCACCUUCUCGAAAAGGAACAGCAGAUUCGUCACCACAUUCGAAAAAGGGAGUCAUUAUGCAUCACCGAGCAGGUAUCACCAAGCCUCAGACACAAUUAUUCAAACAGCAUCGAAAAGGGACAAAAACGUCCCUUGCAUCAUCUCCAUACCCCGCUGCAAUGCAUCAAAAAGAGAAGGGAGAGUCGUUACAACAAAGAUUUCAUGAAGACAAGGCUGGAUCGAACGAGAACCAGGGGCAAGUCCACUUACACUUGGU
Molecule: long non-coding RNA, 494 nt
Organism: Musa acuminata AAA Group (dessert banana)
Lineage: Eukaryota; Viridiplantae; Streptophyta; Magnoliopsida; Zingiberales; Musaceae
Exons: 3
Source: RefSeq, a predicted model, not a curated record